RNAcentral lists this transfer RNA (64 nucleotides) under Macrohectopus branickii. RNAcentral describes it as "tRNA-Glu". Lineage: Eukaryota; Metazoa; Arthropoda; Malacostraca; Amphipoda; Macrohectopidae. The record is from RNAcentral.
UUUUUUAUAGUGUAAGUAACACGUAGUCCUUUCAAGACUAAGCUAACCCUCCUGUUUAAAAAUA